RNAcentral lists this ribosomal RNA (446 nucleotides) under Pedobacter sp. RNAcentral describes it as "bacterial SSU rRNA". It matches the Rfam family "Bacterial small subunit ribosomal RNA", at positions 66 to 509 of the family's 1533-position model. The record is from RNAcentral. Lineage: Bacteria; Pseudomonadati; Bacteroidota; Sphingobacteriia; Sphingobacteriales; Sphingobacteriaceae.
ACGAGAUUAUCCAGCUUGCUGGAUUUGAAAGUGGCGCACGGGUGCGUAACGCGUAUGCAACCUACCUUAAUCAGGGGGAUAGCCCGGAGAAAUCCGGAUUAACACCGCAUAAAAACACAGGAUAGCAUUAUCCAAUGUUCAAAUAUUUAUAGGAUUGAGAUGGGCAUGCGUGUCAUUAGCUAGUUGGCGGGGUAACGGCCCACCAAGGCGACGAUGACUAGGGGAUCUGAGAGGAUGACCCCCCACACUGGUACUGAGACACGGACCAGACUCCUACGGGAGGCAGCAGUAAGGAAUAUUGGUCAAUGGAGGCAACUCUGAACCAGCCAUGCCGCGUGCAGGAAGACUGCCCUAUGGGUUGUAAACUGCUUUUAUCCGGGAAUAAACCUCUGCUCGUGAGCAGAGCUGAAUGUACCGGAAGAAUAAGGAUCGGCUAACUCCGUGCC